GAAUGUGAGAGUGAUCUGGCUGCAACAUCUGCCUCCCACUGAUCACCAGGGUUGAUUCAGCUGAUCUGAAUGGCUAGGGAGGUGUCUCCUUCCUCCCUCACCGCUCCACAUGCAUCCCUCCCGAAGCUUCAUGAUAGAGGAGCUUCCCCAGUAGAGGAGGGCCAUUCUUCCAUCAAGGUAUAGGGGUAGCUGCACUCCCCUGUAAGAACCUCCAAACAAGCUCUCAAAGUAUACAGUUUAUCUGUAGUAUUACAAUUUCAUGGGUGCUGGGGUAUAGCUCAGG
This is an unclassified non-coding RNA of Ictidomys tridecemlineatus (thirteen-lined ground squirrel), 283 nucleotides long. Its record names the gene 7SK. It matches the Rfam family "7SK RNA". Rfam says of the family: 7SK was discovered as an abundant small nuclear RNA in the mid-70s but a possible function has only recently been suggested. Two independent studies have found that 7SK RNA binds the CDK9/cyclin T complex (known as elongation factor P-TEFb). P-TEFb activates transcription by phosphorylating the C-terminal domain of RNA polymerase II. The record is from Ensembl. NCBI's taxonomy places the organism in Eukaryota, Metazoa, Chordata, Mammalia, Rodentia, Sciuridae.